UACAGAGGUCUCAAGCGUUGUUCGGAUUCAUUGGGCGUAAAGGGUGCGUAGGCGGCGCGGUAAGUCGGGUGUGAAAUCUCGGAGCUUAACUCCGAAACUGCAUUCGAUACUGCCGUGCUUGAGGACUGGAGAGGAGACUGGAAUUUACGGUGUAGCGGUGAAAUGCGUAGAUAUCGUAAGGAAGACCAGUGGCGAAGGCGGGUCUCUGGCCCGGUACUGACGCUGAGGUGCGAAAGCGUGGGGAGCAAACAGG
Molecule: ribosomal RNA, 253 nt
Filed under: uncultured bacterium
Lineage: Bacteria
Description: partial 16S ribosomal RNA
Rfam family: Bacterial small subunit ribosomal RNA
Source: RNAcentral